This 253-nucleotide ribosomal RNA is filed under the name uncultured bacterium. RNAcentral's name for it is "partial 16S ribosomal RNA". It matches the Rfam family "Bacterial small subunit ribosomal RNA", at positions 524 to 776 of the family's 1533-position model. The record is from RNAcentral.
UACGGAGGGUGCGAGCGUUAAUCGGAAUUACUGGGCGUAAAGCGCACGUAGGUGGUUGGGUAAGUCGGAUGUGAAAGCCCUGGGCUUAACCUGGGAACUGCAUUCGAAACUGCCGGGCUAGAGUAUGGGAGAGGGAAGCGGAAUUUCCGGUGUAGCGGUGAAAUGCGUAGAUAUCGGAAGGAACACCAAUGGCGAAGGCAGCUUCCUGGCCCAAUACUGACACUGAGGUGCGAAAGCGUGGGGAUCAAACAGG